AUUGAACGCUGGCGGCAGGCCUAACACAUGCAAGUCGAACGGCAGCGGGGGAUAGCUUGCUAUCCUGCCGGCGAGUGGCGGACGGGUGAGUAAUGCAUGGGGAGCUGCCCAAUCGAGGGGGAUAACAACUGGAAACGGUUGCUAAUACCGCAUACGCCCUGCGGGGGAAGGGUGGGGACCUUCGGGCCUACCGCGAUUGGAUGCACCCAUGUGGGAUUAGCUAGUUGGUGAGGUAACGGCUCACCAAGGCGACGAUCUCUAGCUGGUCUGAGAGGAUGACCAGCCACACUGGAACUGAGACACGGUCCAGACUCCUACGGGAGGCAGCAGUGGGGAAUAUUGCACAAUGGGGGAAACCCUGAUGCAGCCAUGCCGCGUGUGUGAAGAAGGCCUUCGGGUUGUAAAGCACUUUCAGUGGGGAGGAAGGGCUGAUGACUAAUAUUCAUCAGCAUUGACGUUACCCACAGAAGAAGCACCGGCUAACUCCGUGCCAGCAGCCGCGGUAA
This 506-nucleotide ribosomal RNA is filed under the name uncultured bacterium. RNAcentral's name for it is "partial 16S ribosomal RNA". It matches the Rfam family "Bacterial small subunit ribosomal RNA", at positions 29 to 523 of the family's 1533-position model. The record is from RNAcentral.